AUUUCGUUCGACUGCACCAACACACCCGUCACUUUAAAAAGAUGGAAAACUAUAAUGGCGGCUGACGCGGCGUGUGGAUUUUUCAGAAUCAAAACCAUUUAACUCGCUGCAGUUGAAAAACACGCAUUCCGCUCCAGCAAAGAAAAAAAAGUGUUUACAAGUGAAUGUGGUCUUGGUGCACGGGAAAUAAAAUCUACACCGAAUCUGCGUUGCAAUAAGUUUUGCAUCCGUGUUCUGGUGUACACCGAGGAAAAGGUUCGCGAUCGAGUGAUUUGUUCCGGUGUACCAUUAAAAAAAAAGUAAUGCUCUCGGGCGCCAUUGUGAAAGAAUAAAACGAGCACGUCCAGCGAGAAAAGCAAAAGAAAGUGGCAGUAAGUGUUGUAGGAAGCGUGUAAGAAAGUGUGUGCCUCAAAGUGGAAGGCUGAGCAAAAAGGGCAGAGGGCCAUCUCAAAACGAAUGCGUUUCAGGUGCAGUGUGGGUCAGUUUGGGAAGUGAGUGUUGUUGUUUUGGUUGGCUGAUAUGUGCAUGUGGCGGCGCGGCAUCACGUGUCUGCCGGGGGCAUGAUAGUUCCCCCUCAGCUCCUGCAUCAAGCGUCAACACUCGGCACUAGUCUCGGGGUAGUCGGCGAACGGGGGACGUCGGUUGGUGUUGCAAGAGCGCACGGUGGCCAUACGGUGCUGGUCACGCACGGCAGCUUCGGCGGACGUCGCUCCGGUGGCACCAUUGAACGCUUCGAGCGCCCCGAAACCAAAGCCAACGGCACGCCGUUUGGACAGGUGGCGGCGGCAGCGGCACGCGGGGAGUCUGCUGGUGGUGUCGGUGGUGGCCUCGGCAGCUCGGUGGCGGCAGCACACGGAGACACGGGCAG
Anopheles coustani is the source of this 868-nucleotide long non-coding RNA. RefSeq lists it as uncharacterized. The transcript has 3 exons. The record is from RefSeq and is a predicted model, not a curated record. Lineage: Eukaryota; Metazoa; Arthropoda; Insecta; Diptera; Culicidae.